CUUGGUGUUACUGCGAAGGGGGGACGGAGAAGGCUAUGUUAGCCGGGCGACGGUUGUCCCGGUUUAAGCAUGUAGGCUGGUUAUCCAGGCAAAUCCGGAUAAUCAAGGCUGAGGUGUGAUGACGAGGUACUACGGUGCUGAAGUAACAAAUGCCCUGCUUCCAGGAAAAGCCUCUAAGCAUCAGGUAACAUCAAAUCGUACCCCAAACCGACACAGGUGGUCAGGUAGAGAAUACCAAGGCGCUUGAGAGAACUCGGGUGAAGG
Molecule: ribosomal RNA, 264 nt
Filed under: Klebsiella quasipneumoniae
Lineage: Bacteria; Pseudomonadati; Pseudomonadota; Gammaproteobacteria; Enterobacterales; Enterobacteriaceae
Description: partial 23S ribosomal RNA
Rfam family: Bacterial large subunit ribosomal RNA
Source: RNAcentral